RNAcentral lists this microRNA (22 nucleotides) under Danio rerio (zebrafish). RNAcentral describes it as "dre-miR-26a-3p". Its record names the gene dre-miR-26a-3p. RNAcentral also lists the same sequence under 2 other names. The record is from miRBase by way of RNAcentral. Lineage: Eukaryota; Metazoa; Chordata; Actinopteri; Cypriniformes; Danionidae.
CCUAUUCGGGAUGACUUGGUUC